This 206-nucleotide small RNA is filed under the name Stutzerimonas stutzeri. RNAcentral describes it as "Pseudomonas stutzeri PhrS". It matches the Rfam family "PhrS". The record is from Rfam by way of RNAcentral. Lineage: Bacteria; Pseudomonadati; Pseudomonadota; Gammaproteobacteria; Pseudomonadales; Pseudomonadaceae.
AUCAGACAGCACAACGGCUUGGGAGGCAGAAAUCAUGUUCGUCGAUAAUGUGGUGCUCGCAGGGGUAGUCACGGUCGGCCUGAUGGUCGUCUUCCUCGGCGGUUUCGGAUAUUUCAUCUGGAAGGAUGCGCAAAAGAAGCGUUGAUCCCGCUGGUGUUACAGAGCACGCAAGGCAUUUAGGGCGACUUAGGUCGCCCCUUUUUCUG